This 76-nucleotide transfer RNA is filed under the name Pseudomonadota bacterium. RNAcentral describes it as "tRNA-Lys". It matches the Rfam family "tRNA". Rfam says of the family: Transfer RNA (tRNA) molecules are approximately 80 nucleotides in length. RNAcentral also lists the same sequence under 5 other names. The record is from RNAcentral. Lineage: Bacteria; Pseudomonadati; Pseudomonadota.
GGGUCGUUAGCUCAGUUGGUAGAGCAUCGGACUUUUAAUCCGCUGGUCGCUGGUUCGAGCCCAGCACGACCCACCA